Molecule: ribosomal RNA, 330 nt
Filed under: uncultured Chloroflexota bacterium
Lineage: Bacteria; Bacillati; Chloroflexota
Description: bacterial SSU rRNA
Rfam family: Bacterial small subunit ribosomal RNA
Source: RNAcentral
GAUGAACGCUGGCGGCGUGCCUAAUACAUGCAAGUCGAACGAAGAGUUUUUGUAGUAAUACAGAAGCUUCUUAGUGGCGAACGGGUGAGUAACGCGUUGGUGACCUGCCCCAAAGUGUGGGAUAACAGUCCGAAAGGAUUGCUAAUACCGCAUGUGGUAUUCGGAAUUAGAACCCGAUUACUAAAGGAGUAAUCCGCUUUGGGAGGGGCCUGCGUCCCAUCAGCUAGUUGGUAGGGUAAUGGCCUACCAAGGCGUCGACGGGUAAGGGGCCUGAGAGGGUGGCCCCUCACAAUGGAACUGAAACACGGUCCAUACACCUACGGGAGGCUG